UACGGAGGGUGCAAGCGUUAUCCGGAUUCACUGGGUUUAAAGGGUGCGUAGGCGGCUUUAUAAGUCAUUGGUGAAAGCUCGCAGCUUAACUGUGAAACUGCCAUUGAAACUGUUUAGCUUGAAUGUGGUUGAAGUGGGCGGAAUACAACAUGUAGCGGUGAAAUGCUUAGAUAUGUUGUAGAACACCGAUUGCGAAGGCAGCUCACUAAGCCAAUAUUGACGCUGAGGCACGAAAGCGUGGGUAGCAAACAGG
RNAcentral lists this ribosomal RNA (253 nucleotides) under uncultured bacterium. RNAcentral's name for it is "partial 16S ribosomal RNA". It matches the Rfam family "Bacterial small subunit ribosomal RNA", at positions 524 to 776 of the family's 1533-position model. The record is from RNAcentral.